UGAAGAAAGCCUCUAAGCAGUCAAGUUGAGUAAUAUUUUUAACUUACUUUUCUCGACUUUGAAAGAGUGCACCUGUGAAGAAAUAUCUAGGGCAUAGAUAUUUCCUCAUCUCUCUUUAUCAUCUUGCUUUCUACCCUGUUGGUCUGCAUAUGGUUAGAUGAAUCUGUGUGACUAAUAUCAGGGCAAUCUUGACCUCAGUGUAUCAACUUCUGUGAGCCUGUCUUGUCUAAAAUGAAUUUGGCUGAGUUAUAGAGCCUCUAAGAAACUCUUACCAGAGGAAGGAAGACAAAAGUUUGCAGUGGGAAAGUGAAGAGGUCAAAAAAGGAGCUAGAACUUACUAAAUAAACAUUUUAGCAUAUAUUAUCAAUAUAAGAGUAACCCAGGAAAAUCAUUGUUAUGGCUUCUAUAUUCUUGAAUUUAGUAGUAAAAAUAAUUUGAUUUUGGCUUAAAUGUAAUGUUCUAUUUCUUAAGGUCCUGUUUCUCAAGGUCCCAUUUCUUUUCACUCUACUUGUCAAGUUCAAGACCAUUUAAAAAAUUAGUAUUUUGCUAGUACAGUUUAUUAAUAACCAUCUCAUUUAAAAGAGUAGAGAUAUAUGUCAGGUGCACUCAACUUUAUGUUUCAGAUCACCUUGGAUACUGUUUUAGCAUUAGUUUAAUAAUUUUUGAUAAUUCAUCAUAAAUUUCCAUCACAGAUUAGCAUAAAUUCUACAGGCCAAUUUUUUAAAUAAAUCCUUGUUUUACCUCAUCAAGAGAGAAAUAAAGAGUGAGAGAAAAGUGAAAGAGAUUGAGAUGGGGUAGAAUCCGAUAACAUUUAAAUUUAAGGGAACAUGCCUGCUUUGUGUGUUUGUCUGUUUGGUUAUUUCCAGAAACAUAGGAAUCUCAGUAGGAGAAAUUGAGUAUAAUGUUCUGUAUUUAAGGGAUGCAGUUUAUAUGUCUUUUUGGUCAAUACAGUUAUUCCCUUUAUUCAGGGGGAUAUGUUCCAAGACCCUCAAUGGAUGCCUGAACCAUGGAUAGUAGUAAACCCUAUUGGGAGGAUCACCUGAGCCUGUGGGGUUGAGGCUACAGUGAGCCAUGAUUGUGCCAUUGCACUUUAGCUUGGAUAAUAGAGCAAGACUCUGUCUCAAAAAACAAACAAAUAAAACGAAAUAACAACAACAACAAAAAACACUUGUCUUAUAUCAUGUCCGGAAUUGAAAACACCUGUCACGCAGUCAAAAACUAGAUUAAUUUUCUAUGUGGAAUAUAGAAAAAGAAAGAAGUUGAAGUGGAAAAUCUGGAGCAAAAUAUUUAUAUUGAAAUAAAAUCUGAACUUUUUUUUGAAAAGAUACACUGGAAUUUACUACACAAAUAAGUCAAGGCUCUCUCUAAAGAAUGUGGCAUAUAAUUUUUGUCUUUAAUUCUAGCAGAUCGUGCUUUCUGCCCUUAGAGAAAAGGUAUUACAUGUUGGUAACUGAGGUAUAAAAAAACCAAAGCCCAGAUCUCUUCCCGUGCUCCACGGAAAUCAUGCCUCGCCCGAGUCUAUAAUUGGCUGAAUUCAUUUCCAAUGAAUGAAAUGCAAAAACAUGGAAAAGACUAAAAUUGAAAUUUUAUAAUUUAAAAGAUAGGAAGCAAGUAGGUGUCUGGAGAUGGCUGCAGAGACAUCCCGUCCCCCUCGGUAGCACUGAUUGCAUUUUCCAUGAAGGUUGCUCUUAACUUCAAAGCAGACACUCUGCUGUGAAGGUUCUGAGAGGUUAGUUCUGGGUCUCGUUGUUUCAAUUAAAAAAUUAAAACAAAAAAGAAAUUAUUCCUAGGUUACUAAGUAUUUAAGAGC
RNAcentral lists this long non-coding RNA (1810 nucleotides) under Pan troglodytes (chimpanzee). Its description in RNAcentral is "long non-coding RNA NONPTRT003583". The record is from RNAcentral. Lineage: Eukaryota; Metazoa; Chordata; Mammalia; Primates; Hominidae.